AUGCUGAGGCCGUGCGCUGCCUCCUGGCCGGCACCGAGGAGUCCGCGCUCUACAUCGUGGAGGACGCCGAGGCCGUGCGCCAGCCGACGGCAAGGACGCCUCCCCUCCUCCCCAUCCCCGCCCCCACCCUCACACGUCGGGCCUGCGCUCCCUGGCGACGCGGAGGAGUACGUGCGCGGCUCCAUCGAGGCCUCCCUCGGCCUCCCCGUGCCCGACCGCUUGUUCCGCGCCAAGCUCGCCGCCUCUGAGGACCUGCGCCGCCGCCUCCAGGACCACGUCUUCGCGCUCGAGGAGGACCUCCUAGCCGCUGCCCGCCGCAUCGACCUCGUCAGGAACGAGUCGGCGAUGAACACGAAGGGGAUCUACGAGCGGCCGUGGCGGCCGCGCGCGACCAACUCGCCGCCCACGCCGCUAGGCUCGAGAAGGAGUGCGGCCUCUACGAGCGUGACCUGGAGCACGCCAUGGAGUCCUACGACGAGCUCGCCAGGGAGAGCGACGACCUACGCAAGCGCCUCCGGGACGCCCCUGACGUUACCACACUGA
Molecule: ribosomal RNA, 543 nt
Filed under: Triticum aestivum (bread wheat)
Lineage: Eukaryota; Viridiplantae; Streptophyta; Magnoliopsida; Poales; Poaceae
Description: partial small subunit ribosomal RNA
Source: RNAcentral